RNAcentral lists this ribosomal RNA (507 nucleotides) under uncultured bacterium. Its description in RNAcentral is "partial 16S ribosomal RNA". It matches the Rfam family "Bacterial small subunit ribosomal RNA", at positions 899 to 1397 of the family's 1533-position model. The record is from RNAcentral.
ACUCAAAUGAAUAGACGGGGGCCUGCACAAGCGGUGGAGUAUGUGGCUUAAUUCGAUGCAACGCGAAGAACCUUACCUGGCCUUGACAUGCACGUAGUAGAAGCGUGAAAGCGUAACGAUCCCGCAAGGGAAGCGUGCACAGGUGCUGCAUGGCUGUCGUCAGCUCGUGUCGUGAGAUGUUGGGUUAAGUCCCGCAACGAGCGCAACCCUUGUGUCCUGUUGCCACUCUAACGAGAGUUAGAAGCACUCUGGACAGACUGCCUCGCUUAAACGAGGAGGAAGGUGGGGAUGACGUCAAGUCAGGAUGGCCCUUACGGCCAGGGCUGCACACGUACUACAAUGCCUGGUACAAAAGGAAGCAAGACCGACAGGUGGAGCAAAUCCCCAAAACCAGGCUCAGUUCAGAUUGUCGGCUGCAACUCGCCGACAUGAAGCUGGAAUCGCUAGUAAUGGCGCAUCAGCUACGGCGCCGUGAAUACGUUCCCAGGCCUUGCACACACCGCCCGU